GAUGAACGCUGGCGGCGUGCCUAAUACAUGCAAGUCGAGCGAACAGACGCUGAGCUUGCUCCUCUGACGUUAGCGGCGCACGUGUGAGUCACACGUGUAUAACCUACCUAUAAGAGGGGGAAAAUUUCGGGACACCGGAGCUUAUACGGUAGAAUCUAUUGAACCACAGGGUGCAAUGGAGAGAGACGGUUUUGCGGUAACGAAUAGCUGGAUCCGCGCCGCAUUAGCUAGUUGGUACGUUAACAGCCUACCAAGGCAACGAGGCGUGGGCGACCUGAGAGGGUGAUCGGCCACACUGGAGCGGAGACACCGUCCAGACUCCUACGGGAGGCAGCAGUAGGCAAUCUGCCGCAAUGGGCGAAAGCCUGACGGAGCAACGCCGCGUGAGUGAUGACGGUCUUCGGAUCGUAAAACUCUGUUAUUAGGGAAGAACAACUGUGUAAGUAACUAUGCACGUCUUGACGGUACCUAGUCAGAAAGCCACGGCUAACUACGUG
RNAcentral lists this ribosomal RNA (497 nucleotides) under uncultured bacterium. Its description in RNAcentral is "partial 16S ribosomal RNA". It matches the Rfam family "Bacterial small subunit ribosomal RNA", at positions 28 to 507 of the family's 1533-position model. The record is from RNAcentral.